This 797-nucleotide long non-coding RNA is filed under the name Parus major (Great Tit). RNAcentral describes it as "lncRNA (ENSPMJG00000005632.1)". Lineage: Eukaryota; Metazoa; Chordata; Aves; Passeriformes; Paridae. The record is from RNAcentral.
UUCUGUCUAGUCAAUGACACACCUGAACCCUGUUCUCAUUCUUCUAUUCCCACAGGCUCAGCCUGCUGCUCGUGGUUCUGCUUGAUUUUGGCAGCUCUGUGCAGGUCUAUCCCUGGGCCCAUAAGCAAACUGUGUGGCUUCAGUUCCAAUACACAACCUUUUCUUCUACUGCUACUUCUUGCUAACUUAAAAGGCCUGCUGGUUGUGGGACAUAUUCUGAGGACAUUUUCAAAACCACCGAAGGAACAAACACUGUAUCAACACUGUGCAGAUGUGUUUUAACCCAGCAGAAUAUUUCAGUGAGUUUUAUGUUCCUUUAAAUACUAAAGUUUGGUCUGUGAAAGAAGCAUGCUGUUGUGAAGCUUCAUCAGACUUCAAGCGGGAUUGGGAUGAAAAGACCCUCUUUCACCUCAAUUAUUGGAAAAUGCAGGCCUCAUUUUCCACUAAAGUUGUGCCCAGACAGUGCAAAGAAGAACUGCAGGAGAAGGAUGAGACCAGCUCUGAGCAAGCAGGAGUAUCUCCACUGCACAGCACUGCAACAUGUUGUCAAAAUUAUUGACAGCAUUUUGGGGAUGCCAUAAUAUUGGCACAGUGUGGAUGGGGCUAUUUCAGGGAUCUUUCCACAAAGUAGCAGAGAUGUAACCAAGCUAUAGUAGUAGCAGCCCAAACAAGCAGCAACAAAAGUUUAAUGGCACAGGGAAACUAGUAAAAAUACCAAAGUUGAUGGUUUUCUUCCAACAAUCAGAAGCGUUCAAAAUUAGAAAUAUUGAAUAAAUAGAAAGAAUGACUUAGUGUCA